RNAcentral lists this ribosomal RNA (502 nucleotides) under uncultured bacterium. RNAcentral describes it as "partial 16S ribosomal RNA". It matches the Rfam family "Bacterial small subunit ribosomal RNA", at positions 30 to 523 of the family's 1533-position model. The record is from RNAcentral.
AUUGAACGCUGGCGGCACGCUUAACACAUGCAAGUCGAGCGGUAACAUGACUAGUAGCAAUACUAGUUGAUGACGAGCGGCGGACGGGUGAGUAACACGUAGGAACUUGCCCAGUAGUGGGGGACAACCAAGGGAAACUUUGGCUAAUACCGCAUAUUCUCGAGAGAGGAAAGCUGCCGCAAGGUGGCGCUAUUGGAGAGGCCUGCGUCCGAUUAGCUAGUUGGUGAGGUAAAGGCUCACCAAGGCGAGGAUCGGUAACUGGUCUGAGAGGACGACCAGUCACACUGGGACUGAGACACGGCCCAGACUCCUACGGGAGGCAGCAGUGGGGAAUCUUGGACAAUGGGGGCAACCCUGAUCCAGCGAUGCCGCGUGAGUGAAGAAGGCCUUCGGGUCGUAAAGCUCUUUAGGCUGGGAAGAAGGUUGGUAGUUUAAGAGAUAAUCAAUUUGACUGUACCAGCAGAAUAAGCACCGGCAAACUCUGUGCCAGCCGCCGCGGUAA